Molecule: ribosomal RNA, 778 nt
Filed under: uncultured bacterium
Lineage: Bacteria
Description: bacterial SSU rRNA
Rfam family: Bacterial small subunit ribosomal RNA
Source: RNAcentral
UNGGAGAGGAAAGUGGAAUUCCUAGUGUAGCGGUGAAAUGCGUAGAUAUUAGGAAGAACACCAGUGGCGAAGGCGACUUUCUGGACGAAAACUGACGCUGAGGCGCGAAAGCCAGGGGAGCGAACGGGAUUAGAUACCCCGGUAGUCCUGGCCGUAAACGAUGGGUACUAGGUGUAGGAGGUAUCGACCCCUUCUGUGCUGGAGUUAACGCAAUAAGUACCCCGCCUGGGGAGUACGACCGCAAGGUUGAAACUCAAAGGAAUUGACGGGGGCCCGCACAAGCGGUGGAGUAUGUGGUUUAAUUCGACGCAACGCGAAGAACCUUACCAGGUCUUGACAUUGAUGGACAGAACUAGAGAUAGUUCCUCUUCUUCGGAAGCCAGAAAACAGGUGGUGCACGGUUGUCGUCAGCUCGUGUCGUGAGAUGUUGGGUUAAGUCCCGCAACGAGUGCAACCCCUAUCUUAUGUUGCCAGCACGUAAAGGUGGGAACUCAUGAGAGACUGCCGCUGACAAUGCGGAGGAAGGCGGGGAUGACGUCAAAUCAUCAUGCCCCUUAUGACCUGGGCUACACACGUACUACAAUGGGAGUUAAUAGACGGAAGCGAGAUCGCGAGAUGGAGCAAACCCGAGAAACACUCUCUCAGUUCGGAUCGUAGGCUGCAACUCGCCUACGUGAAGUCGGAAUCGCUAGUAAUCGCAGGUCAGCAUACUGCGGUGAAUACGUUCCCGGGCCUUGUACACACCGCCCGUCACACCACGAAAGUCGGAAGUGCCCAA